UACCAGCACCCCGAGUGGUCGGGACGUUUAUUGGGCCUAAAGCAUCCGUAGCCGGUUCUACAAGUCUUCCGUUAAAUCCACCUGCUUAACAGAUGGGCUGCGGAAGAUACUAUGGAGCUAGGAGGCGGGAGAGGCAAGCGGUACUCGAUGGGUAGGGGUAAAAUCCGUUGAUCCAUUGAGGACCACCAGUGGCGAAGGCGGCUUGCCAGAACGCGCUCGACGGUGAGGGAUGAAAGCUGGGGGAGCAAACCGG
RNAcentral lists this ribosomal RNA (253 nucleotides) under uncultured bacterium. Its description in RNAcentral is "partial 16S ribosomal RNA". It matches the Rfam family "Archaeal small subunit ribosomal RNA", at positions 474 to 727 of the family's 1478-position model. The record is from RNAcentral.